AGCCUGAACGCUGGCGGCGUGGCUAAGACAUGCAAGUCGUACGGAGGUAGCAAUACCUCAGUGGCGAACGGGUGAGUAAUGAAUCGCUAACGUGCCCUGGACUUCGGGAUAGCUAUCCGAAAGGGUAGGUAAUACCGGGUGAUAUACCCUUUCCGCAUGGAAGGGGUCUCAAAGGUCCGCCGGUCUUCGGUGGAUGGUCUGGGAGCGGGCGAUUUCGUAUCAGCUAGUUGGUGGGGUAACGGCCCACCAAGGCGACGACGCGUAGCCGGACUGAGAGGUUGGCCGGCCACAUUGGGACUGAGACACUGCCCAGACUCCUACGGGGGCUGCAGUAACGAAUCUUCCGCAAUGCACGAAAGUGUGACGGAGCGACGCCGCGUGGAGGACGAAGUUCUUCGGAAUGUAAACUCCUGUCAGGGGAAAGAAAGUUCUGAUCUACCCCAGAGGAAGAGGCGGCUAACUCUGCGCCAGCAGCCGC
This 478-nucleotide ribosomal RNA is filed under the name uncultured bacterium. RNAcentral describes it as "SSU rRNA". It matches the Rfam family "Bacterial small subunit ribosomal RNA", at positions 26 to 518 of the family's 1533-position model. The record is from RNAcentral.